Molecule: long non-coding RNA, 1005 nt
Filed under: Anser brachyrhynchus (Pink-footed goose)
Lineage: Eukaryota; Metazoa; Chordata; Aves; Anseriformes; Anatidae
Description: lncRNA (ENSABRG00000013408.1)
Source: RNAcentral
CUGCAGGUAAAAUUUCAACUCCCAGCCUCGACAUCACAGUGUCUUAGAAACUGGAGUGCUUGGGAAUGGCACUCACUUGUUAAAGGAUUAUGAACACUGGAGUGAGGAAAAAAAAAGUUACGUGCAAAAUCCUACUUCUGCUAUGGUCAUGAACACCUGUGUCCACAGUUACACAUGUGUGGUACCUCUACCUGAGACUAAAGUUCACAUUCCAAAAUGUCUUCUGUGCGAGCACUGUGAAUUCUUAAACAAAACUUAACCUCUGGCUAUGAAGAAUUAGUAAUGUUAUCAAUGUUUUCCAUUACACUGUUCUUUAAGAUGCCUAAGCAGCAGCUAAGGGAAUUUACUUCACUCUUGUUUGUUUGUUUCCUUCUCCCUUUCUUUCUCUCUCUUUUGCUUUCCUCUCUCUUUUGCUUUUUCACUUUUCUCUCUUUUGUUCUCUCUCUUAUUCAUAUCUAUCCUGUUCUUUCUCUCUUGCUUUCUUUCAUUCUCAUUUUUCCUCUCUCACUUUUUCUUUUACUCUUUUGUUCUUUUUUUCUCUCGCUUUCUUAUUCUUUCUUGCUCUCUCAUUCUUUCUCUUGCUUUCUAUUCUCUUUUGCUCUCUCUUUUAUUCUUUUUUGCCUGCUCUCUUCUUUGCUUUCUCUCAUCCAUUCUCUCUUUCAUUUGCUCUCUCCUGCUCUCUUUUCUUCUUCUUUUUCCUCACUGCUUCUCUCUAUCUCUUUAGGUCUCUUUCUUUUUCUUUCUUUGUCUUUUUCAACCUCUAUUUCACUUUCUCACUUCUUUUCCUCUCUCUCUCUUUUUUUCUUUCUCUCUUUAUCUUUCCCCUUCCCUCCUUUCUUCCUUCCCUCCUUCCUUUCUCUCUUUCCCUCUCUCUCUCCCCCAUCUCUCCUCUUCCUUUUCUCUCUCUUUCCCUCUUUCUUUCCUUCUCUCCUUCUCUCUCUCUCUUUUUUUAAUGUAAACCAUGAGAAGAAUACGUUGCAAACUGUUCCUGGGUUCUGGUUCCUC